AGAGACAGAACGUCCUAGUGCGUAGUUUCUGCCGCCCAGCGCGCUUCACCUGGUGAUUGGUUGUGGCCCUCCAUUACCGGCCGCUUCUUUGGCACGCGGGCAGGAGGACGCGUCGCAGGCAUACACGCAGAGCCCGCGACUCAGCAUGCCAGUGCAGACUCAAGCGCAGCGGAGCCCGCCUGCCACCACGACCGGAGCGUCCACUGGGAAGAAGGCAUCCGUGAGUGUAACCAGCGCGCAGACAGUGGAUGCCAUCGCAGCUUCCAUGGAACGCUUCCUGGUUGCUCAAGAGGCUGCCCUUGUGCGAAUGCUGGACUCGUGUAGGAGUGACGCGAGCCAGGCACUGCUUCGGUGGGGCUUCAGCGAUGCGGCUGCCGGCUCAAGUGCUAACUUCGCCCUUCCCCCCACAGACGGCACGCCGACGGAUGGCAGGCAGGACACGAGUCCGGCUUACCGCGCCAGCGUCAUAUCGGAGCUGCUCAAGCAAGGGAAGGACUCGCAACAGAUGCUCGCGGUAGGAAAAUCGGCGGCCAGGGAGACGGAGGAGCUGCGGCGCACCGCCGAGCUGGAGGAGUACAAGCUCCGUCUUGCCCAGGCCCGAAACCGGCUUCUGCGAGGCCGUCUCGCCAAACUCACGCGCGAGCGCCACGAACAGGCACAACACGUGUUGGUGAGUCAUAACCAGAAUAGCGCUGAUAUUGUUGGGAGUAAGCGAGCAGCGGCUUCUCAAAUCGGGCCAUCGCCUGAUGACUAUGACUACACGAACGACAUCGUUGAGGCCCGGCGGCAGCUCGACCAGUGCACAAAGGAGCUGGAGGAGAGCCAGCUGCGUCUGCAUCAGCUGCAGCAGUACCACCUGGGCCAGCUCAGUGGGCACCUUCAGCCAAUGAUGACGGCCAACGAUGCGUUGCGCACUACCGAGAACUUCCUCGACCCGGAGACGAACAUGGCGGUGCGUGCCACCGUGGUCGACUCCUUACUGGAGGUGAACCGGGCCCUCAAGCCGCUGUCGGUGCAGCAUGAUGGUCUACAGAGCAUGGAAGGUGUUUUACCAUGCUUGGACAACGUCGCAACGUUGUGGGAUCGGCUGGCGGUGCAGAACUUCGUUGUGGGGCGCAUCAACCGUCUCUUCACCUGCAUGUGCCCCACAACACCACCGCUGACGCUUCUGAAGGACACGAACAUGAUGUAAAACGCAGAAGGGCAAGGCGGAUGCGGAGCGCGCGCUAGUGAUAGCACACGGGACGACAUGGGCGCCUCCAUCACAUGAGAAAUGUACCCCCACCCCCCCCCCCCCCCUUGCGUGUGAGAGAGUGCGCGGCGGCAAUAGGGACGUUGCACCAUAGGAGGUGGGCGCCCGUGGCGUUCAUGCGACAUGCCUACUUGACUCUUCUUUGGACCUUCUCUCUCUGUGAUCUUGUGUCUGCAGUAUUAUGAGCAGCGGUGCCGCGAGUGACGCCUCCCUCGCUCUUUCUCUAUGUACAGUUAAUGCGUCUCACUCUCUCUCGUCGCUUGUUUAUCUCUCCGCUUGAGCGCCUCCUCGCGCCCCCCUUCGCCUCUGCCAAAGCGCCCGUGCUGAUC
This 1581-nucleotide unclassified non-coding RNA is filed under the name Leishmania donovani. RNAcentral's name for it is "gene:LdHU3.13.0060(CDS-product:hypothetical_prote in_conserved)". The record is from RNAcentral. Lineage: Eukaryota; Euglenozoa; Kinetoplastea; Trypanosomatida; Trypanosomatidae.